Molecule: transfer RNA, 63 nt
Filed under: Camelus bactrianus (Bactrian camel)
Lineage: Eukaryota; Metazoa; Chordata; Mammalia; Artiodactyla; Camelidae
Also listed under: 2 other names
Rfam family: tRNA
About the family: Transfer RNA (tRNA) molecules are approximately 80 nucleotides in length. Their secondary structure includes four short double-helical elements and three loops (D, anti-codon, and T loops).
Source: Rfam by way of RNAcentral
GUAUAGCUUGGUGGUAAAGCACAUGCCUAGCAUGCAUGAGGUCAUGGGUUUGAUCCCCAGUAC